Molecule: ribosomal RNA, 213 nt
Filed under: uncultured bacterium
Lineage: Bacteria
Description: partial 16S ribosomal RNA
Rfam family: Bacterial small subunit ribosomal RNA
Source: RNAcentral
AACCUGCCUUUCAGAGGGGGACAACAGCUGGAAACGACUGCUAAUACCGCAUGACGCAUUCGGAUGGCAUCAUCUGAAUGCCAAAGAAUUUAUCGCUGAAAGAUGGCCUCGCGUCUGAUUAGAUAGUUGGCGGGGUAACGGGCCCACCAAGUCGACGAUCAGUAGCCGGACUGAGAGGUUGACCGGCCACAUUGGGACUGAGAUACGGCCCAG